ACAAUGCGCAGGCAAUCCACAGCAGCUGCCCCUGCAAAUGUCAGCGCUAGCCCAGUCAAAAGAGCUUGAAACCUACCAAGCCGGAGGACUGUGCUGUGCCUCUCUCGCCCACAUUUUCCCCAAGCACUCUCAGGAACCUGGCAACAGAUGGAUAUCUGAGAGCGAGCGAACUUUCUUUACCUCCUAGUAUCAUUUCAUGAGAAUUAGUAGCAUCUGCACAAUGGGGCCUUGGAGACAGGAAUAAAAGGAAAAAUCUGGAAUGGAAUCACAUGACGCAACAGGCUCUGAAGACUCCCUGCCCGGCUGCCGUAUGUCUGGUAAACAGAAUAAAUAGCACUUGAGCA
RNAcentral lists this non-coding RNA (344 nucleotides) under Pongo abelii (Sumatran orangutan). Lineage: Eukaryota; Metazoa; Chordata; Mammalia; Primates; Hominidae. The record is from RNAcentral.